This 401-nucleotide ribosomal RNA is filed under the name uncultured bacterium. RNAcentral's name for it is "bacterial SSU rRNA". It matches the Rfam family "Bacterial small subunit ribosomal RNA", at positions 362 to 757 of the family's 1533-position model. The record is from RNAcentral.
UUUUGGACAAUGGGGGCGACCCUGAUCCAGCAAUGCCGCGUGAGUGAAGAAGGCCUUCGGGUUGUAAAGCUCUUUUGUCAGGGAAGAAACAGCAGCUCUAACACAGUUGUGAAUGACGGUACCUGAAGAAUAGGCACCGGCUAACUACGUGCCAGCAGCCGCGGUAAUACGUAGGGUGCAAGCGUUCAUCGGAAUUACUGGGCGUAAAGCGUGCGCAGGCGGUUAUACAAGACAGGCGUGAAAUCCCCGGGCUCAACCUGGGAAUUGCGUCUGUGACUGUAUAGCUAGAGUGUGUCAGAGGGGGGUAGAAUUCCACGUGUAGCAGUGAAAUGCGUAGAUAUGUGGAGGAAUACCAAUGGCGAAGGCAGCCCCCUGGGAUAACACUGACGCUCAUGCACGAA